Carassius auratus (goldfish) is the source of this 716-nucleotide long non-coding RNA. RefSeq lists it as uncharacterized. NCBI's taxonomy places the organism in Eukaryota, Metazoa, Chordata, Actinopteri, Cypriniformes, Cyprinidae. The record is from RefSeq and is a predicted model, not a curated record. The transcript has 4 exons.
AACAGCUGGCAGGAAAUACUAGUCACACGACUUUACUGAGUUGUUUAUUUAACUUUUCUGACCAUAGUGGCAUAAAGUGAAAUAAAAAAGUAAACAUAAAGGUUGCGGACACUCGUGUUAUUGGAUAGUCUUAUCAAAGUUGUCCAAUGGAGGCGCGAGUUCAUCCGUCAAAUCCUAAUUAAUUUAAACGACUCGAGCUUCGUGACAGGUAAGCGCUUGAGUCAGACCACUAAACUGAAGAAAGAAAGAGAAGACCUCAAACCUGCAGAUGGCACACAACUCACAUUAUCUCCGCAUCUAUCCAGGAGUGUUUGUAGGCAGCUGCUCUGCAUAUGAAUUGUGUCUUUAUGUCACAGUAUGAACUCAGACUCAGAAAUGUAGGCCAUGCUUUAGAUGAUUCAUCCAAGUACUCUCAGCGUCGUUCUGCCCACAGGAUCUCUCGAUUCGGCAGUAAAGCCUCAUAAAUAUAGCACUCAGAACGUCAUCCAUGACCUGAAGUUGAAGAAAGAGCGAGCUGGAUCUGCACUGAGGUUUAGCUGACUGUGAAUGUGGGGGUUUGAGGAUGACGUAGGCGACGUGAAAAUAUUCAGGAUGUGGUGUAAGGUGAAGCAGAGGAUGCAUGCGGCAGACAGGAAAACAGAAUGGGGACUUAAAUGGGUAGAGGAAGACAAAGAUACCCACUAUGCUGCAGAAUCAUUGAGCUGGUACUCUCUGGA